GGACAAUAUUUAUUAGUGCUCCUCCAAACGCCAGAAAAAUGAGAAAAAUGUUUUGUAAGAAAAUAUUUUCCGUAACAAGCCUUGGAUUGAAAAACUUAGAUUAGGCAUUGUUGAGCAUGCUUCUAAUAUUAAUUCCGAUACAUCACCACCGUAGGCAUAGCUGGCUCAACUAAGCUGAAUAGAAAUCGUGAGAUGUAGCACUAGGAAUGCUAAAAGAAAGUAGAGGUUUCAAAUGGGUUGAUUGUCUAAUCUUUCCACUUUGAGAGACAAUUAAAUAAAAAGGAUAAUUUUGUUCCUUUUGAUCAAUUUAAAAUCAAGCUAGGUAUAAUUUGACGGAACAUGACAAAGUUGAUGCCUUGAAGGAAC
This 366-nucleotide unclassified non-coding RNA is filed under the name Hevea brasiliensis (rubber tree). Lineage: Eukaryota; Viridiplantae; Streptophyta; Magnoliopsida; Malpighiales; Euphorbiaceae. The record is from RNAcentral.